Molecule: unclassified non-coding RNA, 240 nt
Filed under: Aliivibrio wodanis
Lineage: Bacteria; Pseudomonadati; Pseudomonadota; Gammaproteobacteria; Vibrionales; Vibrionaceae
Description: putative sRNA
Source: RNAcentral
AGGAUAAAAAUUAUGGAUAACACAUUAGCUAGUAAGCUUUAUAAAGAACGUGUCGCUUCAAUUAUGAGAAUGCCUCUAGAUGACUUAGACGACAGUAAGCUAUGUAAUUUAUUUGAAAACCAUACAUCUCCAUGCGAUGCCGCAAAAGAGCUGAGUUCUCCGAUCCAGAGUGCAUGGUUGAACCGAUAUAUAAAUAAGUAAUACCUAAACUUAAUAUUUGGUUUUUUCUAAAAUCUUGGC